Molecule: non-coding RNA, 319 nt
Organism: Drosophila bipectinata
Lineage: Eukaryota; Metazoa; Arthropoda; Insecta; Diptera; Drosophilidae
Source: RefSeq, a predicted model, not a curated record
GGAUUUCGCUGACAGCGGCUCGUGCCAGUACUCAACCGACUGCCAAACGGCGCACGACAAAGCACCGAGCAGCAGCAUUAAAUAGCAGCUGAGGCAACAAUACCAACAGCAACACCACCAUCCACAGCAGAAGCAGCAGCAGCACCACCAAGCAGCAGUAAUAGCCGCACGGCAAUAGCAACAGCAACACAAGCAAAAGAAAAGCUACCCACGACGACGCUCGGUGUGUGCGUUGUUUUUUUUGUUUGUUUGCGCUGAACAAAUCAAAUUUCAAUCAAAAGAACAAAAGAUUGUGGGUAGAAAAGUGUGUAAGCCACAA